CGCUGUUUUAUAAUAUUAUCUUUGAUAGCCACACUUUUGGUGUAUUAUGGUUUAACAGGUGAGUGCAAUUUUACUAAAUUUUAAAAUUAAUUUCUUUAGUUAAAAAAGGAAUAUAUAGGAUAAGGUUUUAUGGGGGAAAAUUUUGUCCGUAAAUAAUUCGCCAAACUCUAGCGGAACGAGAAACUUCGAUAAAUCACAUUACAUUAAAUCUCAACCAUAUUUCCUACUGUGGUUGAAUCGACACAAUAUGUCACGAUAGUGUGUUUUUCCUCUGUAGUUUAACAUCGCUUUCAACCCGAUGAGCACUAACCAUGCCCAUCACGGCCUGGCCAAUAUUUAUCAAGUGGAGAAUGGAAUUCAAUCAGACAGUUUCGAAUUCCUUCCAAAUGACUUUUUUGGAAGUAUGGUACCCGAGUCUUCCAAGUGGACCGCGUGAUAAAACAGUCGCUUAUCACUUUUAUGAUCCGGAUUCGGUUCCGGGUCUCACAUGCCAGUUUUACAGAAGAGUCCGGACUUGGCCCCUUGAAUCCUAAUUUUAUGUUAAGCCGUCAUAUCACACUUGGGAUAUUCUAUCCUGGUAGCAGCUACUAUAGUCCACCAUUGGUUGGCCAACAUCCGUAGUGCAAACGGAAUAUAACCCUUGAACUUCGCGAAAUUCAAUGGACUGAUCCUAGACAUCUUCCUGAAAAACGAUAUGUGGGACCCGGAUUUGAAUCCGGUUCUUCCAAAAUGAUAAGCCAAUGUUUUACCACGCAGGCAUCUGAUCGAGAAUCCCAUUUUUCAAGUUGCUAAUUGACUUCAUCAUGGAUGUUGGCCGGUCUGUGAUAGGCUCUAAAAGUGACUUCCUUCAGGUACAGAAUAUUCCAUGUGAAAUGAGGC
Molecule: long non-coding RNA, 879 nt
Filed under: Androctonus crassicauda
Lineage: Eukaryota; Metazoa; Arthropoda; Arachnida; Scorpiones; Buthidae
Source: RNAcentral